RNAcentral lists this long non-coding RNA (2994 nucleotides) under Olea europaea (common olive). Its description in RNAcentral is "long non-coding RNA (OEUR_LNC011130)". The record is from RNAcentral. Lineage: Eukaryota; Viridiplantae; Streptophyta; Magnoliopsida; Lamiales; Oleaceae.
UCUCUCUCUCUCUCUCUCUCACACACACACACACACACACACACACACAUGCAUAUACACAGUUGUACACCCACACAGAGUGAGCUGAUUCACAUACAAAAAGAAACAAUUUAAUAUCUUCUCAUGUAAUUUUUUGACCUUCAAUUGUUUUAUUUGCUAUUUUUUUCUAGUAUGUUAAAAAACACGUAUCUGAUUGUAACGACUUUGGGGUUGUAUAUUUGUAUGGAUAACUUAAUAGUGGCCUCAAUUCCCGUAAUAGUUGGAUUGAACCCUGAUAAAGUAUGGAUAUUGUCAUGCAGUAAAAAUAUUUCUGGCAUAAUAUGAUGUUUCACUGUAUUUUUGUUGCCCUGGGAGUCUUCAAUGUAUAAUUUCUAACAUAUUAUCAAGUUAAUUACAUUGCUUUCCUGUUCCCCCAAAAAAAAAAUAAAAAAAAUCAUGCUAAUCUACCUCUUGCGGUGGUGUAAUUUUAUCUUCUGCAGAAAGAAGCUGAAUAUGGAUGAAAUUCAUGAUAUCCAUGGUUUGAGAUUGAUUGUCGAAACUGAGGAUGAUUGUUAUAAGGCUUUGAGAAUUGUUCACAAGCUAUGGGGUGAAAUACCUGGGAGGUUCAAGGAUUACAUAGUUUAUCCCAAGUUUAAUGGGUAUGCUAUUUCUAAAAGUUUUAAUGUCUUAUUCUACAUAUCAUUUGUUAUUAUACUUAAUUCAAACUCUAAAAUUUCAGGUACCGAUCUCUUCAUACAGUAGUGAUAGGUGAGGGUAUGGUUCCACUUGAAGUUCAAAUUCGAACAAAAGAGAUGCAUUUGCAAGCUGAGUAUGGAUUUGCUGCUCAUUGGAGAUACAAGGAAGGUGAUUGUGAACAUUCCUCUUUUGUGCUUCAGAUGGUUGAAUGGGCGCGUUGGGUUGUCACCUGGCAGUGUGAGGCUAUGAGCAAAGACAGGUCAUCCAUUAGCUUUGUUGACUCCAUGAAGCUGCCUUGCACAUUCCCUUCUCAUUCUGUGGAUUGCCCAUUUUCUUGCAAACCACAUUGUGGCUCAGAUGGACCUGUCUUUGUUAUCAUGAUUGAGAAUGAUAAGGUUCGUUCUUCAGAAAUUUUGCCCCCAUUUGGAUAAAUUAUAAAUGAUAUAUAUAUGUGUUGCAUGGACACUUUUAAGUAGGAUGGCCCGUGUUCGACACGUCUCGAAUAUCGACGCUACUCGGACACUGUCAUGGUCAUAUUUAAAAUAUUUUAACAAGAUAUAAAUGAAGAAUUUUAAAUAUUUUAAUCAGCGCGUCGACGUAAAUGAUGUUUGACCCAGGGUUUUUAGCGUUCAAGGGGUCACAUUCUUAUCCCACCUUCCCAUUAGUAUUGUUUGGAACUUGAGUGUAUCAUACUUAUACGUACAGAAUCUUUCUCGAGUUCCAGGGAAUUUGUGUUCUUUGUGAAUUAGUUUUUUUAAAUUCAGUCAUUUGUCCAAUGGAUUUGUCAUGCUCGAUAUGACUACUGAUCUGGUGUUUGGAUUUUGCAGAUGUCCGUGCAGGAGCUCCCAGCAAAUUCAUCUGUUACGGAUCUGUUGGAAAGAACAGGUCGAGGCAGUUAUAGAUGGACUCCCUAUGGAUUUCCUCUGAAGGAAGAGUUGAGGCCGCGGCUGAACCAUGAACCAGUUAGUGAUCCCACCUGCAAGCUAAAAAUGGGUGAUGUGGUGGAAUUAACUCCGGCCAUCCCAGACAAGUCACUGACAGAAUACCGGGAGGAGAUUCAACGUAUGUAUGAUAGGGGCCUUAACAUAUCAAGCGCAGUGCCUGCUGCCAACACCAUGGCUAGGUUAAGUAGUUGACCCCUUUGGCUCCCCUGAUUGUAUUAUGCGAUUGAUACAAAAUCACGACUAGUUAUUCUGUAGAUAAACGAUAACGAUCUGUAAAGAACACCUUAUUGUUUGUUUAUGAAGGUAAACGAUCUUCUGAAACUGGCUAUUAUCUUUAACAAAUUUAGCAAUUGCAAUUAAGCUGAAGCUCUUAGUGAAUGUUAAAUCACGAACAAUUCCCAGCCUCUCUUCUUUAGUGAAUGAAGUGCAAGGCGUUGAUUCCUACCAAUUUUAUACGUAUAAAAUAAGCUAAAUAAUCUCUCUACUUAAUAGGGGAUUUGGCUUGCGAACUUCCAAUAACUCGACAAUUGACGUGAAAUAUUUGACAGGAACACCAAUUGAAACCAAAAGCCACAUUUUAAAUUUGUAAUAUCAUUAGCCACGGGGAAAAUGAACAGGUCUAAUCCUACCAUAUAGUAGGAGACAAAUGAACAAGGUCUGUAUAGAAGACGACCAUAAGUAAUCCGUUCAGGAAGCACGUCGAAACUACGUUGUUUUGACGUUGAAGCAAUACUGCCAUCGUACAAUUCACACACGCAUAUACACAGUUGUACACCCACACAGAGUGAGCUGAUUCACAUACAAAAAGAAACAAUUUAAUAUCUUCUCAUGUAAUUUUUUGACCUUCAAUUGUUUUAUUUGCUAUUUUUUUCGAGUCUGUUAAAAAACACGUAUCUGAUUGUAACGACUUUGGGGUUGUAUAUUUGUAUGGAUAACUUAAUAGUGGCCUCAAUUCCCGUAAUAGUUGGAUUGAACCCUGAUAAAGUAUGGAUAUUGUCAUGCAGUAAAAAUAUUUCUGGCAUAAUAUGAUGUUUCACUGUAUUUUUGUUGCCCUGGGAGUCUUCAAUGUAUAAUUUCUAACAUAUUAUCAAGUUAAUUACAUUGCUUUCCUGUUCCCCCAAAAAAAAAAUAAAAAAAAUCAUGCUAAUCUACCUCUUGCGGUGGUGUAAUUUUAUCUUCUGCAGAAAGAAGCUGAAUAUGGAUGAAAUUCAUGAUAUCCAUGGUUUGAGAUUGAUUGUCGAAACUGAGGAUGAUUGUUAUAAGGCUUUGAGAAUUGUUCACAAGCUAUGGGGUGAAAUACCUGGGAGGUUCAAGGAUUACAUAGUUUAUCCCAAGUUUAAUGGGUAUGCUAUUUCUAAAAGUUUUAAUGUCUUAU